GGUUAAGCGACUAAGCGUACACGGUGGAUGCCCUGGCAGUCAGAGGCGAUGAAGGACGUGCUAAUCUGCGAAAAGCGCCGGCGAGGUGAUAUGAACCUUUGACCCGGCGAUGUCCGAAUGGGGAAACCCAGUGCAAUUCGUUGCACUAUCGUUAACUGAAUACAUAGGUUAACGAGGCGAACCGGGGGAACUGAAACAUCUAAGUACCCCGAGGAAAAGAAAUCAACCGAGAUUCCCCCAGUAGCGGCGAGCGAACGGGGAGCAGCCCAGAGUCUGAAUCAGCUUGUGUGUUAGUGGAAGCGUCUGGAAAGUCGCACGGUACAGGGUGACAGUCCCGUACACGAAAGCACACAGGUUGUGAACUCGAAGAGUAGGGCGGGACACGUGGUAUCCUGUCUGAAUAUGGGGGGACCAUCCUCCAAGGCUAAAUACUCCUGACUGACCGAUAGUGAACCAGUACCGUGAGGGAAAGGCGAAAAGAACCCCGGCGAGGGGAGUGAAAAAGAACCUGAAACCGUGUACGUACAAGCAGUGGGAGCACCUUCGUGGUGUGACUGCGUACCUUUUGUAUAAUGGGUCAGCGACUUAUAUUCUGUAGCAAGGUUAACCGUAUAGGGGAGCCGAAGGGAAACCGAGUCUUAACUGGGCGUUAAGUUGCAGGGUAUAGACCCGAAACCCGGUGAUCUAGCCAUGGGCAGGUUGAAGGUUGGGUAACACUAACUGGAGGACCGAACCGACUAAUGUUGAAAAAUUAGCGGAUGACUUGUGGCUGGGGGUGAAAGGCCAAUCAAACCGGGAGAUAGCUGGUUCUCCCCGAAAGCUAUUUAGGUAGCGCCUCGUGAACUCAUCUUCGGGGGUAGAGCACUGUUUCGGCUAGGGGGCCAUCCCGGCUUACCAACCCGAUGCAAACUACGAAUACCGAAGAAUGUUAUCACGGGAGACACACGGCGGGUGCUAACGUCCGUCGUGAAGAGGGAAACAACCCAGACCGCCAGCUAAGGUCCCAAAGUCAUGGUUAAGUGGGAAACGAUGUGGGAAGGCACAGACAGCCAGGAUGUUGGCUUAGAAGCAGCCAUCAUUUAAAGAAAGCGUAAUAGCUCACUGGUCGAGUCGGCCUGCGCGGAAGAUGUAACGGGGCUAAACCAUGCACCGAAGCUGCGGCAGCGACGCUUAGGCGUUGUUGGGUAGGGGAGCGUUCUGUAAGCCGUUGAAGGUGUGCUGUGAGGCAUGCUGGAGGUAUCAGAAGUGCGAAUGCUGACAUAAGUAACGAUAAAGCGGGUGAAAAGCCCGCUCGCCGGAAGACCAAGGGUUCCUGUCCAACGUUAAUCGGGGCAGGGUGAGUCGACCCCUAAGGCGAGGCCGAAAGGCGUAGUCGAUGGGAAACAGGUUAAUAUUCCUGUACUUGGUGUUACUGCGAAGGGGGGACGGAGAAGGCUAUGUUAGCCGGGCGACGGUUGUCCCGGUUUAAACAUGUAGGCGGAACGAUUAGGUAAAUCCGGUCGUUUAUUAACGCUGAGGUGUGAUGACGAGGCACUACGGUGCUGAAGUAACAAAUGCCCUGCUUCCAGGAAAAGCCUCUAAGCAUCAGGUAACAUCAAAUCGUACCCCAAACCGACACAGGUGGUCAGGUAGAGAAUACCAAGGCGCUUGAGAGAACUCGGGUGAAGGAACUAGGCAAAAUGGUGCCGUAACUUCGGGAGAAGGCACGCUGAUAUGUAGGUGAAGCCCCUGCGGGUGGAGCUGAAAUCAGUCGAAGAUACCAGCUGGCUGCAACUGUUUAUUAAAAACACAGCACUGUGCAAACACGAAAGUGGACGUAUACGGUGUGACGCCUGCCCGGUGCCGGAAGGUUAAUUGAUGGGGUUAGCGGUAACGCGAAGCUCUUGAUCGAAGCCCCGGUAAACGGCGGCCGUAACUAUAACGGUCCUAAGGUAGCGAAAUUCCUUGUCGGGUAAGUUCCGACCUGCACGAAUGGCGUAAUGAUGGCCAGGCUGUCUCCACCCGAGACUCAGUGAAAUUGAACUCGCUGUGAAGAUGCAGUGUACCCGCGGCAAGACGGAAAGACCCCGUGAACCUUUACUAUAGCUUGACACUGAACACUGGUCCUUGAUGUGUAGGAUAGGUGGGAGGCUUUGAAGCGUGGACGCCAGUCUGCGUGGAGCCAACCUUGAAAUACCACCCUUUAAUGGCUGGUGUUCUAACGUAGACCCGUAAUCCGGGUUGCGGACAGUGUCUGGUGGGUAGUUUGACUGGGGCGGUCUCCUCCCAAAGAGUAACGGAGGAGCACGAAGGUUAGCUAAUCCUGGUCGGACAUCAGGAGGUUAGUGCAAUGGCAUAAGCUAGCUUGACUGCGAGAGUGACGGCUCGAGCAGGUGCGAAAGCAGGUCAUAGUGAUCCGGUGGUUCUGAAUGGAAGGGCCAUCGCUCAACGGAUAAAAGGUACUCCGGGGAUAACAGGCUGAUACCGCCCAAGAGUUCAUAUCGACGGCGGUGUUUGGCACCUCGAUGUCGGCUCAUCACAUCCUGGGGCUGAAGUAGGUCCCAAGGGUAUGGCUGUUCGCCAUUUAAAGUGGUACGCGAGCUGGGUUUAGAACGUCGUGAGACAGUUCGGUCCCUAUCUGCCGUGGGCGCUGGAGAAUUGAGGGGGGCUGCUCCUAGUACGAGAGGACCGGAGUGGACGCAUCACUGGUGUUCGGGUUGUCAUGCCAAUGGCACUGCCCGGUAGCUAAAUGCGGAAAAGAUAAGUGCUGAAAGCAUCUAAGCACGAAACUUGCCCCGAGAUGAGUUCUCCCUGACCCUUUAAGGGUCCUGAAGGAACGUUGAAGACUACGACGUUGAUAGGUCGGGUGUGUAAGCGCAGCGAUGCGUUGAGCUAACCGAUACUAAUGAACCGUGAGGCUUAACCUU
RNAcentral lists this ribosomal RNA (2906 nucleotides) under Enterobacter asburiae. RNAcentral describes it as "23S ribosomal RNA". It matches the Rfam family "Bacterial large subunit ribosomal RNA". The record is from RNAcentral. Lineage: Bacteria; Pseudomonadati; Pseudomonadota; Gammaproteobacteria; Enterobacterales; Enterobacteriaceae.